GACGAACGCUGGCGGCGUGCUUAACACAUGCAAGUCGAACGGAAAGGCCCUGCUUUUGUGGGGUGCUCGAGUGGCGAACGGGUGAGUAACACGUGAGUAACCUGCCCUUGACUUUGGGAUAACUUCAGGAAACUGGGGCUAAUACCGGAUAGGAGCUCCUGCUGCAUGGGGGGGGUUGGAAAGUUCCGGCGGUGUGGGAUGGACUCGCGGCUUAUCAGCUUGUUGGGGGGGUAGUGGCGUACCAAGCCUUUGACGGAUAGCCGGCCUGAGAGGGUGACCGGGCACAUUGGGACUGAGAGACGGCGCAGAAUCGUACGGGCGGCAGCGGUGGGGAAUAUUGCACAGUGGGGGGGCGCCUGAUGCGGAAGCGCCGCGUGCGGGAUGACGUGCUUCGGGUUGUAAACCGCUUUCGCCGGUAACGUGGAGUGAGUGACGGUAAUGAGUCAAGAAGCACCGGCUAACUACGUG
Molecule: ribosomal RNA, 468 nt
Filed under: uncultured bacterium
Lineage: Bacteria
Description: partial 16S ribosomal RNA
Rfam family: Bacterial small subunit ribosomal RNA
Source: RNAcentral